AUCAACGCUGGCGGCGUGCCUCAGACAUGCAAGUCGAACGCGAAAGUUCCCUUCGGGGAGCGAGUAGAGUGGCGCACGGGUGAGUAACACGUGGAUAAUUUGCCUUCGGGUGGGGAAUAACAACCGGAAACGGUUGCUAAUACCGCAUAAUGCAGCGGCAUCUAUGAUGACAGUUGUUAAAGCGGGGGAUCGCAAGACCUCGCGCCUGAAGAGAAGUCCGCGGCAGAUUAGCUAGUUGGUAGGGUAAUGGCCUACCAAGGCGACGAUCUGUAGCCGGCCUGAGAGGGCGGUCGGCCACACUGACACUGACAUACGGGUCAGACUCCUACGGGAGGCAGCAGUCGGGAAUUUUGGGCAAUGGGCGAAAGCCUGACCCAGCAACGCCGCGUGAAGGAUGAAGCAUUUCGGUGUGUAAACUUCACAAGAUUGGGAAGAAUAAGUUGAGGAUAAUACCCUUAACGAU
RNAcentral lists this ribosomal RNA (463 nucleotides) under uncultured bacterium. RNAcentral describes it as "bacterial SSU rRNA". It matches the Rfam family "Bacterial small subunit ribosomal RNA", at positions 32 to 476 of the family's 1533-position model. The record is from RNAcentral.